AGACGAACCGUCCAAACGUUAUUCGGAAUUACUGGGCUUAAAGGGUGCGUCGGCGGCCGGGCAAGUCGGGUGUGAAAUCCCUCGGCUCAACCGAGGAACUGCGCCCGAUACUGUUCGGCUAGAGGGAGACAGAGGUGAGCGGAACUUGCGGUGGAGCGGUGAAAUGCGUUGAUAUCGCAAGGAACACCCGUGGCGAAAGCGGCUCACUGGGUCUCUUCUGACGCUGAGGCACGAAAGCUAGGGGAGCGAACGGGAUUAGAAACCCCAGUAGUCC
This 274-nucleotide ribosomal RNA is filed under the name uncultured bacterium. Its description in RNAcentral is "partial 16S ribosomal RNA". It matches the Rfam family "Bacterial small subunit ribosomal RNA", at positions 523 to 796 of the family's 1533-position model. The record is from RNAcentral.